GUGGGAUCCCGGCCCCCUUGCUUCGCGUGGGGCCCCGGGCGCACCACCGGCCCGUNUCGCCCGCAGCGUCGGGGAGGUGGAGCGUGAGCGCGCGCNAUAGGACCCGAAAGAUGGUGAACUAUGCCUGGGCAGGGC
This 135-nucleotide ribosomal RNA is filed under the name Aulostomus chinensis (Chinese trumpetfish). RNAcentral describes it as "partial 28S ribosomal RNA". Lineage: Eukaryota; Metazoa; Chordata; Actinopteri; Syngnathiformes; Aulostomidae. The record is from RNAcentral.